CCUACGGUGAGCAGCAGUGAGGAAUAUUGGUCAAUGGGCGGGAGCCUGAACCAGCCAAGCCGCGUGAGGGAAGAAGGUACAGCGUAUCGUAAACCUCUUUUGUCAGGGAACAAAGGCGGGGACUAUUCCCCGGAUGAGGGUACCUUAAGAAAAAGCAUCGGCUAACUCCGUGCCAGCAGCCGCGGUAAUCCGGGGGUUGCUAGCGUUAUCCGGAUUUAUUGGGUUAAAUGGGUGCGCAGUCUGCCUGUUAAGUCAGCGUUAAAAGCCCGGGGCGCAACCCCGGCGAGCCGUGGAUACUGGCGGGCGGGAGUUGGAUAGAAGUACGAGGAAUGCGCGGUGUAGCGGUGAAAUGCUUAGAUAUCGCGCAGAACCCCGAUUGCGAAGGCAGCGUACCGGCUCGACACUGACGCUGAGGAACGAAAGCGUGGGUAUCGAACAGGAUUAGAUACCCCUGUAGUC
RNAcentral lists this ribosomal RNA (459 nucleotides) under uncultured bacterium. RNAcentral's name for it is "partial 16S ribosomal RNA". It matches the Rfam family "Bacterial small subunit ribosomal RNA", at positions 338 to 795 of the family's 1533-position model. The record is from RNAcentral.